RNAcentral lists this transfer RNA (74 nucleotides) under Pichia kluyveri. RNAcentral describes it as "tRNA-Leu". It matches the Rfam family "tRNA". Rfam says of the family: Transfer RNA (tRNA) molecules are approximately 80 nucleotides in length. Their secondary structure includes four short double-helical elements and three loops (D, anti-codon, and T loops). The record is from RNAcentral. Lineage: Eukaryota; Fungi; Ascomycota; Pichiomycetes; Pichiales; Pichiaceae.
AUGAUUAUGACGAAAUAGGUAGACGUGUUUAGUUUAGGCCUAAAUAAUUAUUGGUUCAAGUCCAAUUAAUCAUA